GUUCAACCGCAAAAGAAGCAGAGGGGGCUUAGUGGUGGGGUGACUGCGUACCUUUUGUAUAAUGGGUCAGCGACUUAUAUUCUGUAGCAAGGUUAACCGUAUAGGGGAGCCGCAGGGAAACCGAGUCUUAAUUGGGCGUUAAGUUGCAGGGUAUAGACCCGAAACCCGGUGAUCUAGCCAUGGGCAGGUUGAAGGUUGGGUAACACUAACUGGAGGACCGAACCGACUAAUGUUGAAAAAUUAGCGGAUGACCUGUGGCUGGGGGUGAAAGGCCAAUCAAACCGGGAGAUAGCUGGUUCUCCCCGAAAGCUAUUUAGGUAGCGCCUCGUGAAUUCAUCUCCGGGGGUAGAGCACUGUUUCGGCUAGGGGGCCAUCCCGGCUUACCAACCCGAUGCAAACUGCGAAUACCGGAGAAUGUUAUCACGGGAGACACACGGCGGGUGCUAACGUCCGUCGUGAAGAGGGAAACAACCCAGACCGCCAGCUAAGGUCCCAAAGUCAUGGUUAAGUGGGAAACGAUGUGGGAAGGCCCAGACAGCCAGGAUGUUGGCUUAGAAGCAGCCAUCAUUUAAAGAAAGCGUAAUAGCUCACUGGUCGAGUCGGCCUGCGCGGAAGAUGUAACGGGGCUAAACCAUGCACCGAAGCUGCGGCAGCGACGCUGAUGCGU
This 667-nucleotide ribosomal RNA is filed under the name Salmonella enterica subsp. enterica serovar Durham. RNAcentral's name for it is "partial 23S ribosomal RNA". It matches the Rfam family "Bacterial large subunit ribosomal RNA", at positions 568 to 1221 of the family's 2925-position model. The record is from RNAcentral. Lineage: Bacteria; Pseudomonadati; Pseudomonadota; Gammaproteobacteria; Enterobacterales; Enterobacteriaceae.